ACUUGGCGGGGUCUUUGUCUCUCGAUCCCGCCAGAGUUUGGGAUCGGUUUCCUCUGUUCCGCGUGCUCUACCUCGGAACCUCCCACCCCCGCCCGGCGACUUUGUCACAGCCUUUGUUGCUCUGUGAUCUGCAGGUCCUGGGAGAAGCACAGCUAAGAUGCCAGGGCAUCCUGGAAGCUGGGAAGUGUUCAGAUGCAUAAUCUCAUCCCUGAACAUUCUGCUGGUGCGAUUAUGACAUAUGACUUUACCCAGCACCAGGGUGAUUUGAUGCUCCUACCUGGGCCCAACUCACAGAAGGGAUUGUGACAUAUCACUGGACCCAGCACUGAGGGGACAUUGUGUAAUAUCGCUGGGCCUCACACAUACGUUACGUGACUCUCCUGCCUGUGCCCUGUCCAUGUGGGCCGUCGUGACGUAUUGCUGGGUCCAACACCCGGUUGAUGUAACUCUACUGCCUAGGUCCUGCCUAAGGAGGACAUUGUGAUGUAUCCCUGAACCCAUCACACAGAUUCUGCCCUCAGAGGAUAUUGUGACAUGUCACUGGGCCUAAUACUAAGAUGACAUCAUUGUUUAGUUUUAGC
RNAcentral lists this long non-coding RNA (581 nucleotides) under Pongo abelii (Sumatran orangutan). Its description in RNAcentral is "lincRNA". Lineage: Eukaryota; Metazoa; Chordata; Mammalia; Primates; Hominidae. The record is from RNAcentral.